Hyaena hyaena (striped hyena) is the source of this 716-nucleotide long non-coding RNA. RefSeq lists it as uncharacterized. NCBI's taxonomy places the organism in Eukaryota, Metazoa, Chordata, Mammalia, Carnivora, Hyaenidae. The transcript is spliced from 2 exons. The record is from RefSeq and is a predicted model, not a curated record.
CCCACUCCCCACCCCACCCGCUGUCCCCGCAACCCCGGCCUCGCCCAGUGAGGCGUAAAGGGAGGGGCCGAAGCCGGGGUCUACCGCCUGGUCAGCGUGGGCCCCAGCGCGAGGACUAAGCUGGGCUGACGCUCCGGCCUGGCUGGGAGGACCGGAGCUGAGCCGGGUCACUGGACAUCCGGGGCUACAGCGAGGGAACGGAGGCACGGCUUCUGAGCCAACUGCGGCUUAAGCUGCUAAACUAAAUCUCCUGGGUUCUUUUCUCCCAGAGCCCACCAACCAGUAGAUGCCUUCCUAAGUUCACUUGAUGACCUGGAAAGUGACAGAGGACGAAAGAUGGCAAACUACAUAAGCACACUCUGGACCUCUAGUCGCUGAUUUGGUGACUGCUAGGAUGGACAAACAGACAAACAGCUGUUAGAUAAUGUGAACCUGUGAGAGCUACUCCUAAAAGGCAGCGAGUGAGGAGCUGACAGCUGGCUGUCUGGAAGAAAGGACUGAGGUUGGGAAGGGCACACAGAGUUUCCCAGGCAGAGAGGCUGGGAAAGAACAUCUUGAGGCGAACACAAAUAUGGGGACAAGCACAAAGAGCGGAAGCCUUUGGAGACUUCUGGGAAAUACAGAAAUGGUACCUGUAACAGUGCUGUGUGGUAGAAAUAGAAUGUGAGCCACAGAAAUCAUUAUCUAGCAAAAUAAACAGGUGAAAUCAAAUUUAA